AAUGAAGAAAUACCAGAGGUCACAUCAGAGCAUGUCAAAGGAAGCUUAAACCGUGCUCAAUCAGCACAGUCUAUAAACUCAACAGCCUACCCGAGAGGAUUGUUUAAAAAGUGUGUCCUCAGAACCUUUACUGUCUGUUCGGGGAAAAGGUGUUCUGCUGAAAAGAAAGUUGUCCCUUUUAGAACAGGAUGUGAUUGUGAAUGAAGAUGGAGAAAAUAAGCUUAAAAAACAAGGUGAAACUCCCAAUGAAGUCUGUAUGUUUUCAUUAGCUUAUGGCGAUAUUCCAGAAGAACGAAUAGAUGCCUCAGAUUUUGAGUGCUCUCUUUGCAUGAGGUUGUUUUUUGAGCCAGUGACAACCCCUUGUGGACAUUCGUUCUGUAAGAAUUGUCUUGAGCGUUGUUUAGAUCAUGCUCCAUAUUGUCCUCUUUGCAAAGAAAGUUUAAAAGAGUAUCUAGCUGAUAGGAGGUACUGUGUCACACAGCUGCUGGAAGAAUUAAUAGUGAAGUAUCUGCCUGAUGAACUGUCUGAGAGAAAAAAAAAUAUAUGAUGAAGAAACUGCUGAACUCUCACACUUGACCAAGAAUGUUCCAAUAUUUGUUUGCACUAUGGCCUAUCCCACUGUGCCUUGCUCUCUUCAUGUAUUUGAGCCAAGAUACAGACUGAUGAUUCGAAGAAGUAUACAAACUGGAACCAAACAGUUUGGGAUGUGUGUCAGUGAUGCACAGAGCAGUUUUGCAGAUUAUGGUUGUAUGUUACAAAUUAGAAAUGUACAUUUCUUGCCUGAUGGAAGGUCUGUGGUUGAUACAGUUAGAGGAAAGCGGUUUCGGGUUUUAAACAGAGAAAUGAAAGAUGGAUAUUGCACUACAGACAUCAAAUAUCUGGAAGAUGUAAAGGUGGAAAAUGAAGAUGAGAUUAAGAAUCUCACAGAACUUCAUGAUUUGGUAUACUCUCAAGCCUGCAGCUUGUUUCAAAAUUUAAGAGAUAGAUUUCGAAGCCAAAUUCAGCACUUUGGAUCAAUGCCCGAAAGGGAGGAAAACCUUCGGGCAACUCCUAAUGGACCUGCGUGGUGUUGGUGGCUUCUAGCAGUUCUUCCUGUAGAUCCCCGCUACCAGCUGUCAGUUUUGUCAAUGAAGUCUUUGAAAGAACAGUUGACAAAGAUACAGCAUAUACUAACCUAUUUUUCUAGAGACCAAUCUAAGUAACUAACUGCUUGGAUGUUCCUUUACAGUUACCCCAGUCUGGCUGUGUUGAUGGCCAGAUUGUCCGCUGCCUUUGCACAUCCAGUGCUGGUUUCAGAAAUGUAAUGAAACUUUUUUUUUCUUCAACCUCCUGAAUCAUGUGGUUCUGCAAAUGAAUACCUUCAACUAGGACUUGGACCACUAAGAACUUGCACAGAACAACACACGCUGAAUGUGUGUUAAACCUCUACAUUGUGUUG
RNA transcript from Carlito syrichta (Philippine tarsier), 1438 nucleotides. It is a transcript of the gene named LON peptidase N-terminal domain and RING finger protein 1 pseudogene, with no coding region annotated. Lineage: Eukaryota; Metazoa; Chordata; Mammalia; Primates; Tarsiidae. The transcript has a single exon. The record is from RefSeq and is a predicted model, not a curated record.